UUGAAGAAUAUGUUUAAAGCUUCCAGUAGGAAAAAGAAACAUGGGGCCUUGUGCAAAGACUGCAAAGGGCAGCCUCAUUGGGAGCUCAUGUAGCCUGUUGCCUAUAUGGGUUGCCCUAAGGGAACUUCCUUGGAGACAAUU
This is a small nucleolar RNA of Mesocricetus auratus (golden hamster), 141 nucleotides long. Its record names the gene SNORA70. It matches the Rfam family "Small nucleolar RNA SNORA70". From Rfam's summary of the family: snoRNA U70 seems to be exclusive to mammals and is a member of the H/ACA class of snoRNA which contain H (ANANNA) and ACA box motifs. The record is from Ensembl. Lineage: Eukaryota; Metazoa; Chordata; Mammalia; Rodentia; Cricetidae.